This 81-nucleotide transfer RNA is filed under the name Candidatus Roizmanbacteria bacterium CG_4_10_14_0_2_um_filter_36_35. Its description in RNAcentral is "tRNA-Leu". It matches the Rfam family "tRNA". From Rfam's summary of the family: Transfer RNA (tRNA) molecules are approximately 80 nucleotides in length. Their secondary structure includes four short double-helical elements and three loops (D, anti-codon, and T loops). Lineage: Bacteria; Candidatus Roizmaniibacteriota. RNAcentral also lists the same sequence under 3 other names. The record is from RNAcentral.
GCCGCAGUGGCGGAAUGGCAGACGCGCACGGUUCAGGGCCGUGUUCCUUACGGAGUAGAGGUUCAACUCCUCUCUGCGGCA